RNAcentral lists this microRNA precursor (207 nucleotides) under Oryza nivara. RNAcentral's name for it is "MIR812 microRNA precursor family". It matches the Rfam family "MIR812 microRNA precursor family". The record is from Rfam by way of RNAcentral. Lineage: Eukaryota; Viridiplantae; Streptophyta; Magnoliopsida; Poales; Poaceae.
AAUAAGUGUAGUUUUACACUAUUCACGUUCAACGUUUGACCAUUCGUCUUAUUUGAAUUUUUUUAUGAUUAGUAUUUUUAUUGCUAUUAGAUGAUAAAACAUGAAUAAUGCUUUAUGUAUGACUAAAUUUUUUAAAUUUUUUCAUAAAUUUUUCAAAUAAGACGGACAGUCAAACGUUGGACACGGAUAUCCACGGCUGCACUUAUU